RNAcentral lists this ribosomal RNA (538 nucleotides) under uncultured bacterium. RNAcentral's name for it is "bacterial SSU rRNA". It matches the Rfam family "Bacterial small subunit ribosomal RNA", at positions 777 to 1315 of the family's 1533-position model. The record is from RNAcentral.
AAAUAGUACCCGGGUAGUCCACGCCGUAAACGAUGUCGACUUGGAGGUUGUUCCCUUGAGGAGUGGCUUCCGGAGCUAACGCGUUAAGUCGACCGCCUGGGGAGUACGGCCGCAAGGUUAAAACUCAAAUGAAUUGACGGGGGCCCGCACAAGCGGUGGAGCAUGUGGUUUAAUUCGAUGCAACGCGAAGAACCUUACCUACUCUUGACAUCCAGAGAACUUAGCAGAGAUGCUUUGGUGCCUUCGGGAACUCUGAGACAGGUGCUGCAUGGCUGUCGUCAGCUCGUGUUGUGAAAUGUUGGGUUAAGUCCCGCAACGAGCGCAGCCCUUAUCCUUUGUUGCCAGCGGUUCGGCCGGGAACUCAAAGGAGACUGCCAGUGAUAAACUGGAGGAAGGUGGGGAUGACGUCAAGUCAUCAUGGCCCUUACGAGUAGGGCUACACACGUGCUACAAUGGCGUAUACAAAGAGAAGCGACCUCGCGAGAGCAAGCGGACCUCAUAAAGUACGUCGUAGUCCGGAUUGGAGUCUGCAACUCGA